UAAAAUUAUAAAGGACUUGUUUUUCAUUAUCAUAAUCUCUAUCAUGACAACAAGUUUCUAAUUUUAAUCAAGGAUUUGUCAAAUUAACAAUUUAAUAAAACAAUAUAUAUAAUAAUAAAAUAAAGAACAUUUUUUUACUAAAAUUAAUAACAUGAUGGAUUGCAUCUUGGACAUAAAUAUUUAUCCCAAACACAUAGAAUCAUGUUUUAUGAGUAGGAUAAAGUUGGAGUGAAGUGUAAGGGCCAUUUGCACUAUAAAAAAAAAAAUUUCCCACCGAAUAAUUCCCACGGAUAAAAUUCCUUCGAAAAUGUUGCAAUCCGACAAAUUUUUUUGAAAGAUUUAAUUCUGUCAGAAAGUAUUCAUUUAUGAUGGAUUUUACCAAAGGAAUCAAUCCAUUGGAAUGUAAAAUUAUCCCCAAUUAAAAGACCCCUGACCCUAGUCCUCUGUUACUCCCUUUGUGACAUUCGUCUCAUCUCUGCUCUCUGUGACCCCGUGCCUCAAUCUUGUGCCUGUGACCAUCGUGUCUCCGUAGCAGCUACAUUCCGCCUCCACUAUCAGCCCACACUGUGAACAGGUAAGCCCACCGCCCCUAGUUGUCACUGGUCUUAGCCCACACAACUCUCGGAAGUUGUUGCCCAAGCCUCUCGGUCUCAUUUGGCUUUACAAGUUUAAUUUUAUUUUCGUUCCUUGUUUGAUUCAUUCAAAAUGUUGCUUGGAUGAUUUUAUGCUGUUUAGUCAAUGGUGUUGAUUGCUUGGAUGAUUUAUAAACACAUAAAGCUUAAGAAACAUUGCUUAUUUUUGUUAUGAAUUUGUUAUGUUGGUUUGGUUGGUGUGUUGGUUGGUUAUGGUGUUGUUCGAUGGUGGUUUGGGUCGUGGGUGGUUGGUGGUUUGAUUGGUGAUGGUGAUGCUCGAUGGGGGUUUGGGUUGCGGGUGGUUAGUGGCGAUUUGGUUGGUGACGAUGGUGAUACGAUUGCAAGGUUGGUGGUGCUGUUGCUUUGGUUUGGUUGUAGAACAGUUGCUUUGGUGGUUGGCACGAAAGGAUGUGGGCACGGAAGGGUCAUGGCCAUUUUUUUCAUCUUUACUAUCAGUACACCCCCUUUAUUAUCAGCACAACUUUUAAAUAAAAAAGAAACACACAAUAAAGAAACAGUUAGUUAACAAAAAUAUUCGAGGAUGCAAAAGAAAUAUAUUUUAACUAAAGAGGUAUGAGUGUAAUAAGUUAUAAUUAACAGAAGACAAAACAUAAUUUGUUUUCAUAAAAAUAAUCAAUCACCUUCUUUCGUCUAUCAUUUUACAAAAAUAUUUUCCAAAAAUUAUUAAGCAGAUUUGAAUCAUAGCUUAGUUUAUGAUUUUGAUUAAUCUUUAUUAUGUAAUCAACUGCUAUUCAUUAUUUUAUGAGAUAAAGUUUUGUCGGGACAAUGAGUAUGUAAUUGAGGUACACUUAAUUAUUUGUUUGCCAGUAAGUUUUUAAUUGGGAGAGUUUCUUUACCUUAGAUUAUAACAAACAAACAAAAUUCAGUAAUCCUAAAUUACAGUUUGAUUUAUGAUUCCAAUUAAUAUUUACUAGCAAUCAAGUGUUAUUAUUUGUUUUUAUUAAUUAAAAAACCUAAAUACGUGUGAGAUAAAGAUUAGGGGGGGGGGGGGGGGGGGGACAAUGCACUAUUCUCUGUAAAAACAGUUUUGAUCUUUUCGGAAAAAAACAAUUGAAUGGUAAUUUACCUAAUGUUUUUUACUCUUUAUGUUUUUACAAAAUUAAAUACAGUAACAAUUUUGAUAAUGCACUCCACUUACUUUAAGUAAUUAAAAAUAACAGUGUUUAUUCAAAAAUUAUAAACAUGAAAGUGUUAUAUUUGUUUUUAUUUAUAAUUACUUGAAAUUAAAUUUUAAAGACCAGUAUCAAUAGAACUGGAAAAAAAUUUAGAUAGAAUAAAACUGUGUGUAAAUAAAACUUCAAAACAGAAUAAUGAUAGUUACCUAGUUAAAUACUAUUAUUGUAAACGCAUAAUUAAUACUUCUCAUUUUUUAUUGUAUUUUUUUAUUACCUCAUAUCAUCAAUCCGUUUCAUUUCAAUCAAUCUUAACCAAUUAUAAAGUGUUAAAAAUAUUUAGAUAAUGAUUUUUAAACUUUUUUCUUUCUCUUUUAUUAUCAGGUUCAUAGUUAGUCUGUCUUGAGUGAUUGCUUUAUUACUCACACUUAGGUUCUAUUGUUUAGGUUAGUUGAGGUCUUUUAUUGUACUUGUUUGAAAUUUUUUAUACUAAAUGUGUUAAGUAUAUAUAUAUAUUUGAUUGUGGUUAUGUUAUUUAUAUUCCAUACUUGGUGAGUUUAGAAAGUCAAACAUUAUAUGUAUGCCAUUGUUUUCACCUAAAGUAUGAUAAUAAUUCUUGCUACCAAUAUAUAAUGGAGAUCACUCUAAGAGUAUGCAUGACUAAACAUCAAGGUUUCUAAUUUUGAAAUCAUCAUUGGAUGUAUGAUAGAUGUUAUAGUGGUAAAACCGGUUUGAAAGAGUCUUUUGUUGAGGGGAUUGAAGAGUUUGUAAGCAAAGCUUGUUAGCAAGAUUGUUAUGACAAUGAGGGGGGGAUCAAAUGUUCUUGUGUUAAAUGCGAUUGCACUAGGAUUUUAGAGGAUAGGGUUGUGAAGGUUCACCUUUACAAAAAUGGUUUCAAGCCUAAUUAUUGGAUUUGACUGAUCAUGGUGAACACAUGCCAUAUAGGGAUGUAAAUGAGGACAACAAUUACAUGGAUGUUUCUACUAGUGCAAAAUAUAUGGCUCAACAUGAACAGUUUAUCUUAAUGCAAGACAUGGUGUGUGAUGCUGUGAGUCAACCUCAAACAUUUGAACCUCCAAACUCAAAUAAUACGGAAGAACCUCCAAAUGAAGAUACUUAAAGAUUUUACAAUUUUCCUGGCAGAGGCAAAUGAACCAUUGUACGAAGGGGCAAUAGACUCAAAAUUAUCAAUAUCUGCAAGGAUUUUUGCAAGUCCAAUUGGAAUGUUCCUGGCCAAUGUUUGGAGUUUAUUUCAAAAAUGCUUUUGGAUGCAACACCUAUAAAAGAUGGUUUACCAAAAAAAAAAUUAUGAUGCGAAGAGGUUAGUAUCAAAGUUAGGAUUGGAUGCUAAGAGGAUUAACUGCUGUGUGGAUGGUUGCAUGUUGUAUUAUGACAAUGAUGUAGCAUUAACCGAAUGCAAAUUCUGUGACAAGCCUAGGUAUCAUGCUAAGACUGUUUGAACAAGCAACAAAAGCCAAUUCCAGUAAAGGUGAUGUUUUAUUUGCUUAUAAUACCAAGGUUGCAGAGACUAUUUGCAUCAAUAUAAACUACAAGCGAAAUGUCAUGGCACUAUAAGAAUAGAAAAUCUUCGGGCAUGUUAUACUGUCCAUUUGAUGGUGAAGCGUGAAAACACUUUGAUCGGGUACAUGCAUAUUUUGCUAUUGAUCCACGAAAUGUGCAGUUCGGUUUAUGCACAGAUGGAUUUAAUCCAUAUAUUUGAGCAUCCUCUUCACCUUAUUCUUGUUGGCCAAUCAUUGUUACCCCGUACAAUCUUCCUCCAUAAAUGUGUAUGACUAAACCUUAUAUGUUUUUGAGCUAUGUUAUACUAGGUCCAUUUAAUCCAACGAUUGAUAUUAAUGUUUAUUUACAACCUUUGAUUGAUGAUCUAAAGAAAUUAUGGAGUGGUAUCAUGACUUACGAUGUUUAAAGUAAGCAAAAUUUCAUGAUGAGGACAACUUUGAUGUGGACUAUUAAUGAUUUUCCUGCUUGGGAUGUUGUCUGGUUGGGGGACACAUGGUAGACUAGCAUGUCCGUAUUGCAUGGAGGACACAAAGGCAUUUUAGUUGGAAAACGGGAGACAAACUUCUUGGUUUGACUGUCAUCGUAGGUUCUUACCUACUGAUCAUGCAUUUAGGAGGAACAAAAAUGUGGAAGCAAUGUCUUCCAAGGUUAUUUUGAUGAUGCCAAAGAAUCAAGAGUUAAGAAUCAAGAAUCAAGUUUCAAGAAUCAAGAUUCAAGACUCAAGAAUCAAGUUUUAAGAAUCAAGAUUCAAGAAUAAUCAAGAUCAAGAUUCAAGACUCAAGAUUCAAGAAUUAAGAGAAGACUCAAUCAAGAUAAGUACUAAAAAAGUUUUCCAAAACAUUGAGUAGCACAAGAAGUUUUCACAAAAUCAUUACCAAAGAGUUUUACUCCCUGGUAAUUGAUUACCAGAAGGUAGUAAUCGAUUACCAGUGUUUUAAAACAUUAGAUUUCAAAUUUCAAGAGUCACAACUUGUGUUUAAACAAUUUUAAAUCAUUUUAAACUUGUGUAAUCGAUUACACAAUACUUGUAAUCGAUUACCAGAGUUCUAAACAUUUUGAUUUUUAAAAUUUAAACAUGAAGAGUCACAUAUGUUGAUGUGUAAUCGAUUACACCUUAAUGGUAAUCGAUUACCAGUGACUGAUUUCGAAAAAUAAAUUUUCAAAAGUCACAAUUCUUCAAGUGACUUGUUUCUGAAGAUUUUUUUUAAAAGUCACAACUUUUUAGUGACUAGUUUUCAAAAGAGUCACAAUUUUUAAAGGGUGACUAGUUUUAAAGAAAUUGCCAAGAGUCACAAACUUUAACUUGAGUCGUCAAGUGAUUAUAAAUAUGUGACCAUGACAUGAAUUUCAUAUCCAUCUUUCAAUAUCUUUCAACACUUUCAACAAAACUUUCUAAUUCAUUUCUCUUCGUCUUUCUAAAAGUUUUUGUUCAAUCAUUUCUCUUUCAAGAAAAAUUCUUUGAUAAAAAAACUUGUACUAUUCUUCUUCAUUCACUUCUCCCUUUUGCCAAAAGUAUAGAAGGACUAACUCCCUAAAUUCUUUUGUGUCUCCCUUCUUUCUUCCAAGAGAAUUCAAAGGAGUAACCGCUUAAGAAUUCUUUUGAUUCUUCCCUUUCCCUUAAGCAAAAGAUUUCAAAGAACUAACCACCUAAGAUAUCUUUUGUUUCCCCUUAGAAAGAUUAAAAGGACUAACCGCCUGGGAAUUCUUUGUCCCAACACAUUGGAGGGUACAUCCUUUGGGGUACAAGUAGAGGGUACACCUACUUGGGGAUUGUUAUACUGAGAACAAGAGAGGGUACAUCUCUUGUGGAUCAAUUCAAGUGAAGGGUACAUCCACUUGGUUUUUCAAAGAGAACAAGGGAGGGUACAUCCUUUUGUGGAUCUUUGGCUUGUAAAGGAUUUUACAAGGUUGAAAGAAAUCUCAAGAAUCGCAUGUUGCUUGGGGACUGGAUAUGAUUUGUGGCCGAACCAAUAUGAAAUUAUUGUGUUUUCCUUCUUCUUCCCUACACUCUUUAAUUUCCACUGCGUACUUUUAAUUAUCACUUUUACUUUUGGUUAAGUUUCUAUUUAUGUUUUUUACUUUCUUAACUUAGUAGUAAAAGCCUAAUUGAAUCUAGUAACAUUAAGAAUGAUAGAUUUUUAAUUAGUCAAGACACGUUCAUAAUUAAUUCAAUCCCCCUUCUUAAUUAUUUCGAGGCCACUUGAUCCAACAAAAAAAUGCCUUCAGAAAGGGGGAAGUUGAAAGGGAUCAGCCACCACGUAUGUUGACACCUACACAAGUAUGAUGUAGGGUUAGGGAUUUUCCAAAAGUCACAGAAACUGGUCUGCCACCAGCAAAUUUACAUGGAUAUGGGUAGUGGCACCAUUGGACAAAAAGAAGUAUCUUUUGGGAUCUUCCUUAUUGGAAAGAUAAUUUGUUGCGACACAAUCUUGAUGUUAUGCACAUAGAGAAAAAUUUCUUUGAUAACAUAUUCAACAUUGUUAUGAAUAUCAGUGGUAAGAUAAAAGACAAUGACAAGGCUAGGAUGGACUUAGCUUUGUAUUGUAAGCGUAAAGACUUGGAGUUGAAGUAGUGGCCAAUGGGAAGUUAUUAAAGCCAAAAGCAAAUUACACUUUAACUGCAGACCAAACAAAGUUAGUUUGUCAAUGAAUAAAAGAACUUCGAAUGUCAGAUGGUUAUUCUUCUAACUUGGCCAGAUGUGCCAAUAUUGAUAAGGGAACCAUGCAUGGGAUGAAAAGUCAUGAUUGUCAUGUGUUCAUGGAGUUUUUACUUCCUAUUGCUUUUAUCUCAUUGUCGUCACGUGUCUUAAAUCCAUUUACUGAAAUAAGUCAUUUCUUCAAAGACUUGUGUCGUACAACUUUGAUGGAUGAUGUCUUGAGCAGAAUAGAACAAAAUAUUCCAUUAAUUUUGUGAAAGUAGGAGAGAAUAUUCCCCCAGGUUUUUUUGAUUCAAUGGAGCAUCUGUCUAUUCAUUUGGCAUAUUGUUAGUCGGUCAAUAUGACUAACUUAUGUGUAAGAAACUGUUGUAAAUUGUAUAUGGCUCCUCCCAUUUAUAGUUGUUUUUGGUAGUAUUGUAAUUACUUUUUGUUAAUUUAAGUGAUAGGUACUCAGUAUCCCAAUUUUGUGUAUUUAAUGAUCAUUCCUUUUCAAUUUCAGGUAAAAUGGGCAAGAUUGGUGAAGUGCAGAAUUCAUGAACUCGCUGAGCCAUGCCACGCACUGGGUGAGCCAUCCACUAAGCGCACUAUCCUCUGAUUAAGCACGCAAAAGAAUCUACAAGAAGGAUGAGCUAUACAGAGGUGUUGAGCGAGUGUCAACUCACUAAGUGCACCGCCUUUAACCCUUACGCUAAGCGAGAAGACUGGCGCCAAGCCAGAAGUCACUUACAUGCGCUAAGCAAGCUCAUCUUCCUCUAAGCACGUGCCCACCGACAGGAUUGCCUAUUUAAAGCUGAAAUCUCAAUUUUGGGGAGGUUGUUGAGUUUUUUGAGAGUUUUUGGUUGUGUUGAGACUGAGAGAGAGCUAAGCAUGACGAGGAAGCCAUCUUGCAGAGCUUUGGAUGAGAUUUUGAGAGAUUGUGAGGUUUCUAGAGGUUGAGGAGACAUCCCUACUACUUGUAUUUCUUCUAUCUUUCAUCUUCUCUUCUCAUUGUUGUAAAGGAAGCUUCCCUGCUAUGGAGAGCUAAAUCCUCAGUUGGCUCUUCCCAUGGGGUACUUGAUGUAAAUAUUUUUAUAUCUAUCUAAUGAUGUUUUAUGUGUUC
This 7041-nucleotide long non-coding RNA is filed under the name Glycine max (soybean). Its description in RNAcentral is "long non-coding RNA (GMAX_LNC000410)". The record is from RNAcentral. Lineage: Eukaryota; Viridiplantae; Streptophyta; Magnoliopsida; Fabales; Fabaceae.